RNAcentral lists this ribosomal RNA (293 nucleotides) under uncultured bacterium. RNAcentral's name for it is "partial 16S ribosomal RNA". It matches the Rfam family "Bacterial small subunit ribosomal RNA", at positions 355 to 640 of the family's 1533-position model. The record is from RNAcentral.
UAGGGAAUCUUCCACAAUGGACGCAAGUCUGAUGGAGCAACGCCGCGUGAGUGAAGAAGGCUUUCGGGUCGUAAAACUCUGUUAUUGAAGAAGAACGUGUGUGACAGUAACUGGUCAUGCAGUGACGGUAUUCAAUCAGAAAGUCACGGCUAACUACGUGCCAGCAGCCGCGGUAAUACGUAGGUGGCAAGCGUUGUCCGGAUUUAUUGGGCGUAAAGCGAGUGCAGGCGGUCUUUUAAGUCUGAUGUGAAAGCCUUCGGCUUAACCGAAGAAGGGCAUCGGAAACUGGGAGA